UGGGCUUGUUGGAGGAAGUGUGUCACUGGGGGUGGGCUUUGAGGUUUCAGAAGCUCAAGCCAGGCCCAGUGGCUCUCUCUGUUCCUGCUGCCUAUGGAUC
This 100-nucleotide microRNA precursor is filed under the name Cricetulus griseus (Chinese hamster). RNAcentral's name for it is "miRNA (ENSCGRG00001002038.1)". Lineage: Eukaryota; Metazoa; Chordata; Mammalia; Rodentia; Cricetidae. The record is from RNAcentral.